This 301-nucleotide ribosomal RNA is filed under the name uncultured bacterium. Its description in RNAcentral is "partial 16S ribosomal RNA". It matches the Rfam family "Bacterial small subunit ribosomal RNA", at positions 509 to 807 of the family's 1533-position model. The record is from RNAcentral.
CAGCAGCCACGGUAAGACAGAGGAUGCAAGCGUUAUCCGGAAUGAUUGGGCGUAAAGCGUGCGCAGGCGGUUAUAUAAGACAGAUGUGAAAUCCCCGGGCUCAACCUGGGAACUGCAUUUGUGACUGUAUAGCUAGAGUACGGCAGAGGGGGAUGGAAUUCCGCGUGUAGCAGUGAAAUGCGUAGAUAUGCGGAGGAACACCGAUGGCGAAGGCAAUCCCCUGGGCCUGUACUGACGCUCAUGCACGAAAGCGUGGGGAGCAAACAGGAUUAGAUACCCCUGUAGUCCCUGUCUCUUAUAC